UGCGCAGGCGGAAUAUUAAGUCAGUGGUGAAAUCUUACGGCUCAACCGUAAAACUGCCAUUGAUACUGAUAUUCUUGAGUAUAGUUGUAGUGGGCGGAAUAUAUCAUGUAGCGGUGAAAUGCUUAGAUAUGAUAUAGAACACCGAUCGCGAAGGCAGCUCACUAGACUAUAACUGACGCUCAGGCACGAAAGCGUGGGGAGCAAACAGGAUUAGAUACCCUGGUAGUCC
This 229-nucleotide ribosomal RNA is filed under the name uncultured bacterium. RNAcentral describes it as "partial 16S ribosomal RNA". It matches the Rfam family "Bacterial small subunit ribosomal RNA", at positions 568 to 796 of the family's 1533-position model. The record is from RNAcentral.